CCUUCUUCUUAUCCCUCCUUCUUCUCUCCUCCUCCUUCUUAACCCUCCUUCUUCUCUCCUUCUCCUUAUUCUCCUUCUUCUUCUCCUCCUCCUUCUCCUUCUUCCUUUUCAUCUCCUUCUUCUCUUCUUGCUUCUUCUCUUUCUUCUUCAAUUUAGCUUAUUUUCCCCAACAAAGACAUACUUAUCUAAUUAUCCUCCAAAUGACAUAAUUAGCUUAGUUAGGGUAAAAACAUCAUAAGAAUCUUGGUUAGCUCACAACUUAGCUAAUUAUCCUCCAAAAUGACAUAAUUAGCUUAGUUAGCUCCAAAAUG
RNAcentral lists this long non-coding RNA (311 nucleotides) under Hordeum vulgare. RNAcentral's name for it is "long non-coding RNA (HVUL_LNC010312)". Lineage: Eukaryota; Viridiplantae; Streptophyta; Magnoliopsida; Poales; Poaceae. The record is from RNAcentral.